UUAGAUUGAAUAGUAUUUCAGACAAACUCCAUGAUAAGUUCAAGGUUUAGGGCCUCUGACAGGCACGUACCAGACAAAGCCGGUAGCCCCUAGGGGCGGCCUGCCAAAGCAACAAUAGUAUAAUAGGCAAGUGGGUAUAGGAUUAGCCCCAAAGAGGGGUAAAAAGUCGAUAAUGAUCCUUCCGCAGGUUCACCUACGGAAA
Molecule: unclassified non-coding RNA, 202 nt
Filed under: uncultured fungus
Lineage: Eukaryota; Fungi
Description: sequence contains ITS1
Source: RNAcentral